Molecule: long non-coding RNA, 763 nt
Filed under: Monodelphis domestica (gray short-tailed opossum)
Lineage: Eukaryota; Metazoa; Chordata; Mammalia; Didelphimorphia; Didelphidae
Description: lncRNA (ENSMODG00000037628.1)
Source: RNAcentral
GAAAAGAGGAUGUGGAACCUCUACUUCAGAUAAAGAGGAGGAAGGAUGUCACUGGAAACUAUAAAGUACAUUUCAUCGACCCCACUCCUGCCAUAUUUACUCUUAACUCUUUGCUUCAGUUCUAGUCCAUCUCACUUUACCCACAACCUUCUGGUCUCUUUCCCCCAUAGCUUUUGCUUUCCCAUGGAAGUCCUUUGAACCCAAAAGCUGAAGGAGCUUGUAGAAAUCUAAGUAAUGCAUGCUGACCUGUGGGUAGAUACCUCUGGCCCAAUAUCUCCAUGGUAGCAAUUCUAAGGAAUAGUUGUCUGAGUUGUCAUGAAGCCAGAAGUAGAAAAUAGCAUAUGCUACAGUCUGAGAAUUUCAGAUGGACACCUGUCCUUGGGAAAAGUUGAGGGAAAGAUGUUGGUGUGGCCCAAGGUCCUAAAGCAUGGAACAUUGGAUUGGCACUUCACACUUUGUGGGAUUCUGAGAAGCAAUUUCUUGCAUGACCAGGUGAUUAUUCAUUUGGAAAGGCAUUUGACUCCAAAUGAAAGAAUUGAAAUGGAUAAUACAAUGGAUAGAGUGUUGGGUGUGGACUCAGGAAGAUAUGAUUUCAAAUCUGACCUCAGACACUGGCUUUGUGACCCAAAGAGAAUUAUCUUCCUCAACUUUAAAAAGGGGGUAAUAAUAGUCCCGACCUCACAGAAUUAUUGUGAGGAUAAUAAAAUGAGAUAAUGAUUGUGAAGUACUAUGUCAAUGCUAUUAUUAUUAUUCGAGUAAUUAU